UGAAUACGAGACGCUAAGGCGUCGAAGUAGUGUAUGUCAUACUUCCAAGAAAAGCUUGCACUGUCAUAGAUAAAAAACGCCUGUACCAUAACCGACACAGGUGGGUAGGUAGAGUAUACUAAGGGGCGCGAGAUAACUCUCUCUAAGGAACUCGGCAAAAUAACUCCGUAACUUCGGGAGAAGGAGUGCCUUAUUCUUAAGGUUACAAUAACAAGAUCCAAGCAACUGUUUAUCAAAAACACAGGUCUCCGCUAAGUCGUAAGACGAUGUAUGGGGGCUGACGCCUGCCCAGUGCCAGAAGGUUAAAGAAGCUGGUUAGCAUUUGCGAAGCUAGUAACUGAAGCCCUGGUGAACGGCGGCCGUAACAAUAACGGUCCUAAGGUAGCGAAAUUCCCUGUCGGGUAAGUUCCGACCCGCACGAAAGGCGUAAUGAUUUGGAUACUGUCUCGGAGAGGGGCUCGGUGAAAUAGACUUGUCUGUGAAGAUGCGGACUACCUGCACCAGGUCAGAAAGACCCUAUGAAGCUUUACUGUAACUUGAAAUUGAAAUUGGACUUUAUUCGCGCAGUAUAGGUGGGAGGCGUUGAUUAUAAUCUUGCGGGAUUAUUGGAGCCAUUAGUGAGAUACCACUCUUGUAAUGUUAGAUUUCUAACUUUGAAUCAUUAUCUGGUCAAAGAACAGUUUCAGGCGGGCAGUUUGACUGGGGCGGUCGCCUCCUAAACGGUAACGGAGGCGUACAAAGGUUUCCUCUGAACGGUUAGAAAUCGUAUCUAGAGUGUAAAGGCAUAAGGAAGCUUGACUGUGAGACCUACAAGUCGAGCAGGGACGAAAGUCGGUCUUAGUGAUCUGACGGUACUGAGUGGAAAGGCCGUCACUCAACGGAUAAAAGUUACUCUAGGAUAACAGGCUGAUCUCCCCCAAGAGUUCACAUCGACGGGGAGGUUUGGCACCUUGAUGUCGGCUCAUCGCAUCCUGGGGCGGUAGUACGUCCCAAGGGUUGGGCUGUUCGCCCAUGAAAGCGGUACGCGAGCUGGGUUCAGAACGUCGUGAGACAGUUCGGUCCAUAUCCGGUGUAGGCGUUAGAAUAUUGAGAGGAGCCUUCUUUAGUACGAGAGGACCGAGAAGGACAUACCUCUGGUGUACCAGUUAUCGUGCCAACGGUAAACGCUGGGUAGCUAUGUAUGGAGUGGAUAACCGCUGAAAGCAUCUAAGUGGGAAGCCCACCUCAAGAUAAGUAUUCUCA
This 1242-nucleotide ribosomal RNA is filed under the name metagenome. Its description in RNAcentral is "bacterial LSU rRNA". It matches the Rfam family "Bacterial large subunit ribosomal RNA", at positions 1564 to 2816 of the family's 2925-position model. The record is from RNAcentral.